RNAcentral lists this microRNA (21 nucleotides) under Homo sapiens (human). Its description in RNAcentral is "hsa-miR-4764-5p". The record is from miRBase by way of RNAcentral. Lineage: Eukaryota; Metazoa; Chordata; Mammalia; Primates; Hominidae.
UGGAUGUGGAAGGAGUUAUCU